Molecule: ribosomal RNA, 500 nt
Filed under: uncultured bacterium
Lineage: Bacteria
Description: partial 16S ribosomal RNA
Rfam family: Bacterial small subunit ribosomal RNA
Source: RNAcentral
AUUGAACGCUGGCGGCAUGCUUUACACAUGCAAGUCGAACGGUAACAGGGUGCUUGCACCGCUGACGAGUGGCGAACGGGUGGGUAAUGCGUCGGAACGUGCCGAGUAGUGGGGGAUAACGCAGCGAAAGUUGUGCUAAUACCGCAUACGUACUGAGGUAGAAAGUGGGGGACCUUCGGGCCUCACGCUAUUCGAGCGGCCGACGUCUGAUUAGCUAGUAGGUGAGGUAAAGGCUCACCUAGGCGACGAUCAGUAGCGGGUCUGAUAGGAUGAUCCGCCACACGGGGACGGAGACACGGCCCAGACUCCUACGGGAGGCAGCAGUGGGGAAUUUCGGACAAUGGGCGAAAGCCUGAUCCAGCCACGCCGCGUGUCUGAAGAAGGCCUUCGGGUUGUAAAGGACUUUUGUCAGGGAGGAAAUCCCUAGUGCUAAUAACACUGGGGGAUGACAGUACCUGAAGAAUAAGCACCGGCUAACUACGUGCCAGCCGCCGCCGUAA